GAAUGCAGUCAAGAGAGUUUUUAAUUGAGUUAAGUUUUAUUGUUAUAUUAUUGUUUACUAUUUGUCAUUUUUUUUCUAUUUUAGAUAUUACAGAAUAAUAAAUGUUUUUAUUUGGGUUAAGUUGUAUUGGUAUGUUUUUGGUUAUCAACUGGUAUUUUAUUUUUAUUUUAGGUUUUACAGGGUAUUAAAUUUUUUUAUUUGGGUUAAAUUUUAUUGUUAUAUUUUUUUAUAUUACUUGGUGUUUUGUUUUUAUUUUGUAUAUUACUAUUUAAAAAAUAUAAUAGAAAAUUUUUUCUUUCUGUUAUUAAAAGUUUUUUCUAAAUAUAAAAUGUUUGCCUUUGUGGUUUUGGUUCUUAUUGGCUUUGUUUUAGUUUUAAUUUUAUUUUAAAAUAUGUAAAUUUUUAUAGUUAAGUAUUUGGAAAGAGGUUGAGUUUUUUUUUGAAAAAAAUAGGAAAAAAGAAAGAUAAAAUUUUUUAAUUAUAGUUCUUUUUGUAUCAUGACUUAUAAAGGAGCCAAAUUUUUUUUUAUUCCCGAAAAUUUUAGAGCUACUGUUCCAAAAAAGUUUGUUGAAAAAAAUUUUAGAAGAGAAUGGUAGGGGUUAAAUGCCUUUCGAGAAAGUUGAUAGCUGGUUAAAAGAAAAAUGUAUUAAAGUACAGAAGUAAAAUAUUUAUUCUAUUAGGUUUUUAUUUUUGAGAUUUUUGGGGUUAAGCUCAAAAAUGAUUUUAAGUAUUAAUAGAGAAAGUAGGAUUUAUAUUGUUUAUCUUAUAAAAAAUUAAUAAUAAAAUAUUCAUAAAACUUAGUAUAUUUAAUAUCUUUUAAUUUUUAAAAAUAAGUUAAAAAAGUAUAAGUAUAAGAUUAGUAGUUAAGAUAGUAGAGUAAAGAGUUUUAGUGAGUUUUUAGUUAAAAUCAAGAAAAAUUAAUAUAAAAAAAUUUUUAAAAGGAACUCGACAAAUAAGAUUUGUGCCUGUUUAACAAAGACAUCGCUUUUUGGAAACUAAAAUAAGAAGUCGGACCUGCCCGGUGAGUUUAUUUAACGGCUGCAACGAGAGUUGUACUAAGGUAGCGCGAUAAUUUGUCUCUUAAUUGGAGAAUGGUAUGAAAGGUUUGUCGCAAAUUAGUUGUCUCUUAAAAAUUAAAUGAAGUUUCCUUUUAAGUGAAAAGGCUUAAAAUUUUGUAAAAGACGAGAAGACCCUGUCGAGCUUGAUUAACUUAAAAAUCUAAAUAAAUAGGUUUUCAGGCGAAUUGUAGUUGGGGAGAGCUGGAUUCAAAAUAAUGAGUCUUUUUGAACGUUGAUCCUCUUUGAGAGAUAGUAGGCAAAAGCUACCGCAGGGAUAACAGCGUAAUUUUUUCUGAGAGAUCUUAUUGAGGGAAAAGUUUGCGACCUCGAUGUUGGAUUAGAGUAACUGUUUGGUGCAGCAGCUAAACAAAGUAAGACUGUUCGUCUUUUAAAUUUCUACAUGAUCUGAGUUAAGACCGGCGUAAGCUAGGUUGGUUUCUAUCUUUAGUUAAUUUGCUUAUUGUACGAAAGGAUCCAGGUAAAGAAUAUUAUUUUAUUGUUUAAUAUAAUUAAGUUGAGUAGUGUUGAGUUGUUCAAUAAAAUAAAAAAUUAUAAGAGAUUUAUUUAGUGUUUUUGAUUACUCAUUAGGAACUAGAGGAUUUUUAGGUUGUGUUAGUCCUUGACAUGGAGGUCUUUUAGUAACAAUUUACAGCUGUUGUUUUUUAGUUUACUUUUAUGGUUUUAACGAU
This 1746-nucleotide ribosomal RNA is filed under the name Marcia hiantina. Its description in RNAcentral is "16S ribosomal RNA". The stretch from base 914 to 1516 matches the Rfam family "Archaeal large subunit ribosomal RNA", at positions 1423 to 2973 of the family's 2987-position model. Lineage: Eukaryota; Metazoa; Mollusca; Bivalvia; Venerida; Veneridae. The record is from RNAcentral.